Molecule: ribosomal RNA, 1343 nt
Filed under: uncultured bacterium
Lineage: Bacteria
Description: 16S ribosomal RNA
Rfam family: Bacterial small subunit ribosomal RNA
Source: RNAcentral
GACGAACGCUGGCGGCGUGCUUAACACAUGCAAGUCGAACGGAAAGGCCCUGCUUUUGUGGGGUGCUCGAGUGGCGAACGGGUGAGUAACACGUGAGUAACCUGCCCUUGACUUUGGGAUAACUUCAGGAAACUGGGGCUAAUACCGGAUAGGAGCUCCUGCUGCAUGGUGGGGGUUGGAAAGUUUCGGCGGUUGGGGAUGGACUCGCGGCUUAUCAGCUUGUUGGUGGGGUAGUGGCUUACCAAGGCUUUGACGGGUAGCCGGCCUGAGAGGGUGACCGGCCACAUUGGGACUGAGAUACGGCCCAGACUCCUACGGGAGGCAGCAGUGGGGAAUAUUGCACAAUGGGCGGAAGCCUGAUGCAGCAACGCCGCGUGCGGGAUGACGGCCUUCGGGUUGUAAACCGCUUUCGCCUGUGACGAAGCGUGAGUGACGGUAAUGGGUAAAGAAGCACCGGCUAACUACGUGUCAGCAGCCGCGGUGAUACGUAGGGUGCGAGCGUUGUCCGGAUUUAUUGGGCGUAAAGGGCUCGUAGGUGGUUGAUCGCGUCGGAAGUGUAAUCUUGGGGCUUAACCCUGAGCGUGCUUUCGAUACGGGUUGACUUGAGGAAGGUAGGGGAGAAUGGAAUUCCUGGUGGAGCGGUGGAAUGCGCAGAUAUCAGGAGGAACACCAGUGGCGAAGGCGGUUCUCUGGGCCUUUCCUGACGCUGAGGAGCGAAAGCGUGGGGAGCGAACAGGCUUAGAUACCCUGGUAGUCCACGCUGUAAACGGUGGGUACUAGGUGUGGGGUCCAUUCCACGGGUUCCGUGCCGUAGCUAACGCUUUAAGUACCCCGCCUGGGGAGUACGGCCGCAAGGCUAAAACCCAAAGGAAUUGACGGGGCCCCGCACAAGCGGCGGAGCAUGCGGAUUAAUUCGAUGCAACGCGUAGAACCUUACCUGGGUUUGACAUGGAUCGGGAGUGCUCAGAGAUGGGUGUGCCUCUUUUGGGGUCGGUUCACAGGUGGUGCAUGGCUGUCGUCAGCUCGUGUCGUGAGAUGUUGGGUUAAGUCCCGCAACGAGCGCAACCCUUGUUCACUGUUGCCAGCACGUUAUGGUGGGGACUCAGUGGAGACCGCCGGGGUCAACUCGGAGGAAGGUGGGGAUGACGUCAAGUCAUCAUGCCCCUUAUGUCCAGGGCUUCACGCAUGCUACAAUGGCUGGUACAGAGAGUGGCGAGCCUGUGAGGGUGAGCGAAUCUCGGAAAGCCGGUCUCAGUUCGGAUUGGGGUCUGCAGCUCGACCUCAUGAAGUCGGAGUCGCUAGUAAUCGCAGAUCAGCAACGCUGCGGUGAAUACGUUCCCGGG